This 433-nucleotide ribosomal RNA is filed under the name uncultured bacterium. RNAcentral's name for it is "partial 16S ribosomal RNA". It matches the Rfam family "Bacterial small subunit ribosomal RNA", at positions 29 to 507 of the family's 1533-position model. The record is from RNAcentral.
AACGAACGCUGGCGGCAUGCCUAACACAUGCAAGUCGAACGAGACCUUCGGGUCUAGUGGCGCACGGGUGCUUAACGCGUGGGAACCUUCCCUUAUGUUCGGAAUAACUCCCCGAAAGGGGUGCUAAUACCGGAUAAUUUCUUCGGACCAAAGAUUUAUCGCCUUUGGAUGGGCCCGCGUUGGAUUAGCUUGUUGGUAGGGUAAAAGCCUACCAAGGCGACGAUCCAUAGCUGGUCUGAGAGGAUGAUCAGCCACACUGGGACUGAGACACGGCCCAGAAUCCUACGGGAGGAAGCAGUGGGGAAUAUAGGAAAAUGGGGGAAAGGCUGAACCAGCAAUGACGGGUGAGUGAUGAAGGCCUUAGGGUUGUAAAGCUCUUUUAACCGGGAUGAUAAUGACAGUACCGGGAGAAUAAGCACCGGCUAACUCCGUG